Capra hircus (goat) is the source of this 707-nucleotide long non-coding RNA. RefSeq lists it as uncharacterized. The record is from RefSeq and is a predicted model, not a curated record. The transcript is spliced from 3 exons. NCBI's taxonomy places the organism in Eukaryota, Metazoa, Chordata, Mammalia, Artiodactyla, Bovidae.
ACCUGACCACAACAGAAUGGGAAAUGCAAAUUAAAUCCAAUGAUUUGAAAAUUCAGCAGGAUACUUUGCAGGAAAAAACAUCAAAUAGGGUACAAAUGACACGAAGCCACAAUGGACAGGAACUGUAUGACUGUGAGUGAAGCAAGAAAGACAUCAGUGACCACUUUUACCUUAGGACACACAGGAGCACUGAAAAUGGAAGGAAUUUUUAUGAAGAUAAUCAGUAUGGAAAGAGCUUCCAUACUCUACACAACAAACCCUUUACUGGGGAAAAAUCCCCCAUGUUUAAUCAGUGUGGAAAAGCUGUCAGGCUGACUCCAGAUAUUACACAUAUGAAAACACACACUGGAGAGAAACCUUUUAAGUGUGACACAUGUGAAAAAGCCUUUAGGUUGUUCUCAUUGAUUCAUGUUCACUGUUGAUUUCAUGCUGGAAUAAAAUCUUACAAAUGUAAGGAAUGUGGGAAGAACUUUGCUGUAUUCUCAAACCUCACUGGACAUAUGAAAACUCAUACUAGAAAGCAACCCUAUAAACGUAAAGAACAUGGGAAAGACUUCCAUCAAUCCUCAGACCUCACUGGACAUCUGAAAACUCACACUGGAGAGAAACCCUAUGAAUAUAAGAAAUGUGGGGAAGCUUUUGGGUUAUUGUCAUACCUUCAUGUUCACAGUAGAAUUCAUGCUGGAAUAAAACCUUAUAAAUGUCAA